AACGAACGCUGGCGGCAUGCCUAACACAUGCAGGUCGAACGAGACCUUCGGGUCUAGUGGCGCACGGGUGCGUAACGCGUGGGAACCUGCCCUUAGGUUCGGAAUAACUCCCCGAAAGGGGUGCUAAUACCGGAUAAUGUCUUCGGACCAAAGAUUUAUCGCCUUUGGAUGGGCCCGCGUUGGAUUAGCUAGUUGGUAGGGUAAAAGCCUACCAAGGCGACGAUCCAUAGCUGGUCUGAGAGGAUGAUCAGCCACACUGGGACUGGGACACGGCCCAGACUCCUACGGGAGGCAGCAGUGGGGAAUAUUGGACAAUGGGCGAAAGCCUGAUCCAGCGAUGCCGCGUGAGUGAUGAAGGCCUUAGGGUUGUAAAGCUCUUUUACCCGGGAUGAUAAUGACAGUACCGGGAGAAUAAGCUCCGGCUAACUCCGUG
RNAcentral lists this ribosomal RNA (433 nucleotides) under uncultured bacterium. RNAcentral describes it as "partial 16S ribosomal RNA". It matches the Rfam family "Bacterial small subunit ribosomal RNA", at positions 29 to 507 of the family's 1533-position model. The record is from RNAcentral.